Molecule: long non-coding RNA, 779 nt
Organism: Lolium perenne
Lineage: Eukaryota; Viridiplantae; Streptophyta; Magnoliopsida; Poales; Poaceae
Source: RefSeq, a predicted model, not a curated record
GCCCAAGUUGAGCGUCCUUGCCGGCGAUCUCUCCGUUUUUAACGCGUCCUGGAAUAGCAUCAAAUUUAUGCCUGCUACUUUUAUCUUUGAUCUACAGCUUAGUGUGCUUAGUGUUCUCUGUUAAAAUAUCUUCAAGCCUAGCAGAGUUUUGUAUGGAAGCAGCAAGGUGAAGGACACACUGAAGUGCAGCUGAGUCGGCGGCAAGCAUGGCGACCUCGGCGUGAGGCUACAGUCCAGCGCCAGUUGGUUGUGCUUCUGUACACGACAAGCCUGUGACGUCAAAGAUGAGGGUAGAUAUUUUUGUUAUAUGUGAUGGGGUUUACCAAUUAAAUGUCAUUGGUGCUGUUUUGGUAGAGGGUAAGAAUGAUGGUUUUAUAAUUCAUCUCCAUAAGAUUGGUUUGUAUCACUUGACAUUUUUUUCAUCAUGUUCCAAAAUUUCAUGGUGUGUCACUUUGACUCGAGAUGGUGUUUAAGUGUGAAGUCGGAAUACAAACUCCAUUGUGUUGACAAGGCUCUGCCAGACUCCACCAGAUGGAACGAGGAUGAGGUUCAUAUGUUUCUCAAGUACAAGGAAUCCACGUACCGGGGGACUGUUUCGGGAAGAUAUUAGAGUGCAGCUUAUUGCUUGUGCAUCUCCAUUUGAGUUCUGCAACACAUAGGGUGUCUUCAUGCUAAACUAGGUCCAAAUGCACUUGUGUUGUGAGCAUGAAAUUCUGAACAGCUGUGAAGUGUGCGAUAACGUGAUCUGGUUAUGCAUUGCUUUUUAGUAUCAUCGCCCA